UUAUGGCCACAUCAUCUUGAAACACCAGUUUCCAUAUGAUCAUCAAAGUUAAGCAACACUAAGCCUGAUCAAUACCUAGAUGGGUGACCACUGUGGGAAUACCAGGUGCUGUAAG
Non-coding RNA from Acanthosepion pharaonis, 115 nucleotides. NCBI's taxonomy places the organism in Eukaryota, Metazoa, Mollusca, Cephalopoda, Sepiida, Sepiidae. The record is from the annotation of a GenBank genome assembly.